This 439-nucleotide ribosomal RNA is filed under the name uncultured bacterium. Its description in RNAcentral is "partial 16S ribosomal RNA". It matches the Rfam family "Bacterial small subunit ribosomal RNA", at positions 339 to 795 of the family's 1533-position model. The record is from RNAcentral.
CUACGGGGCGCUGCAGUGAGGAAUAUUGCACAAUGGGGGGAACCCUGAUGCAGCAACGCCGCGUGGAGGAUGACGCAUUUCGGUGUGUAAACUCCUUUUAUAUGUCAAGAAAAUGACGGUAGCAUAUGAAUAAGCACCGGCUAACUCCGUGCCAGCAGCCGCGGUAAUACGGAGGGUGCAAGCGUUACUCGGAAUCACUGGGCGUAAAGGACGCGUAGGCGGGUUGGAAAGUCAGGUGUGAAAUCCUACAGCUUAACUGUAGAACUGCACUUGAAACUUCUGAUCUAGAGUAUGGGAGGGGGAGAUGGAAUUAGUGGUGUAGGGGUAAAAUCCGUAGAUAUCACUAGGAAUACCUAAAGCGAAGGCGAUCUCCCGGAACAUUACUGACGCUAAGGCGUGAAAGCGUGGGGAGCAAAUAGGAUUAGAUACCCGCGUAGUC